UACGUAGGGCGCAAGCGUUAUCCGGAAUUAUUGGGCGUAAAGAGCUCGUAGGCGGUUUGUCGCGUCUGCCGUGAAAGUCCGGGGCUCAACUCCGGAUCUGCGGUGGGUACGGGCAGACUAGAGUGAUGUAGGGGAGACUGGAAUUCCUGGUGUAGCGGUGGAAUGCGCAGAUAUCAGGAGGAACACCGAUGGCGAAGGCGGGUCUCUGGGCAGAUACUGACGCUGAGGAGCGAAAGCGUGGGGAGCGAACAGG
This 253-nucleotide ribosomal RNA is filed under the name uncultured bacterium. RNAcentral's name for it is "partial 16S ribosomal RNA". It matches the Rfam family "Bacterial small subunit ribosomal RNA", at positions 524 to 776 of the family's 1533-position model. The record is from RNAcentral.